GACGAACGCUGGCGGCGUGCUUAACACAUGCAAGUCGAACGGAAGGGCCCUGCUUUUGUGGGGUGCUCGAGUGGCGAACGGGUGAGUAACACGUGAGUAACCUGCCCUUGACUUUGGGAUAACUUCAGGAAACUGGGGCUAAUACCGGAUAGGAGCUCCUGCUGCAUGGUGGGGGUUGGAAAGUUUCGGCGGUUGGGGAUGGACUCGCGGCUUAUCAGCUUGUUGGUGGGGUAGUGGCAUACCAAGGCUUUGACGGGUAGCCGGCCUGAGAGGGUGACCGGCCACAUUGGGACUGAGAUACGGCCCAGACUCCUACGGGAGGCAGCAGUGGGGAAUAUUGCACAAUGGGCGGAAGCCUGAUGCAGCAACGCCGCGUGCGGGAUGACGGCCUUCGGGUUGUAAACCGCUUUCGCCUGUGACGAAGCGUGAGUGACGGUAAUGGGUAAAGAAGCACCGGCUAACUACGUG
Molecule: ribosomal RNA, 468 nt
Filed under: uncultured bacterium
Lineage: Bacteria
Description: partial 16S ribosomal RNA
Rfam family: Bacterial small subunit ribosomal RNA
Source: RNAcentral